RNAcentral lists this transfer RNA (67 nucleotides) under Catara rugosicollis. Its description in RNAcentral is "tRNA-Ser". Lineage: Eukaryota; Metazoa; Arthropoda; Insecta; Blattodea; Blattidae. The record is from RNAcentral.
GAAAUGUGUAGUUCAAGUAAAAGCUGCUAACUUAUUACUUUAAUGGUUAAACUCCAUUUACAUUUCU